This is a long non-coding RNA of Poecilia latipinna (sailfin molly), 502 nucleotides long. RefSeq lists it as uncharacterized. The record is from RefSeq and is a predicted model, not a curated record. The transcript is spliced from 2 exons. Lineage: Eukaryota; Metazoa; Chordata; Actinopteri; Cyprinodontiformes; Poeciliidae.
UGGGCUUAGCCCCUGGAACAUGCGGUGGCAGACCCUGUUGACGCACCUGUGGCUAAUUUGAAGAGGGCUGAAGUGGAGUAUUUAUGCUGCGGCUGGCAAACACUCCGGUGCCUGAGUGUUAACCUAGAAUGGUUUUCAGCCGUCUCCCAGCGUGUAGCCUGUGGAUACAAGUCUCCGAGUGAUCUCCGCUCCGGUCAGCCUCCCGAGGAACAGUUACUCCCUCUGACGCCUCAGGUAGUACCUGUUGGAAGCCAGUACCCUCGCCCCUGGAUGAAUCGAGCUCUCCGUUUGCCAACCGUCCGCUACAGCCGCUCUUACCUGCCCGUCCUCCAACGUGCUCCGCUCGCCGGAUUAGCGAGCUCUGGACCUCAGUCCUCCGUCGCAACCUCAGGCAACAAUCAAACCCAUUCCACCCCUUAUCCAAUUGAUGACCUUGCAGUUCCAACCCCGUAUCCAGAUCUCCCCACCACUUCUCUUUAUUUAAUAAACUUUAUUAUUGUGA